This is a long non-coding RNA of Phacochoerus africanus (Common warthog), 449 nucleotides long. RefSeq lists it as uncharacterized. The record is from RefSeq and is a predicted model, not a curated record. Lineage: Eukaryota; Metazoa; Chordata; Mammalia; Artiodactyla; Suidae. The transcript has 2 exons.
GGGCGGAGCCGCGGGCCGCGGGAAGGGGAGGAGCGCCGCGCGGCGCCCCGAGCGCAGGGAGGCAGAGAUGGAGCGUACAUCUCCCAGCUCCCGCAUCAAACCUGGAUACACGUCCGCGGAGAAAACGAAACGCCUCUCAUUUUUCUGGGAUGUGCUCUUUUUGGACAAACUUUGCUCAGGGUGUCCGCAGAUCCAGCUGGGACACUGUGAAGCCCUUCUGGGUUCUCAGUUGGGUUGAACUCUGGCAGGGAGGGUGUCUCUGGAGCUGAGGGAUGUUGAGCUGGGUUUGGGCUCCGCUCGGCAAGGCUAAAAGACUUUUUCCACGAGGGAGUCCCUCCCUCCCGAGGGGAAAAUCCGUCCCGAAUCCGACACCGAGUGACUGCGCAUCCAGAAUGUGCCAGGUGUGAUAGGCUCAUCUGUAAAUAAAACAAAGACCCCGCUCUCAAGAA